RNAcentral lists this ribosomal RNA (870 nucleotides) under Bacillus cereus. RNAcentral's name for it is "bacterial SSU rRNA". It matches the Rfam family "Bacterial small subunit ribosomal RNA", at positions 37 to 876 of the family's 1533-position model. Lineage: Bacteria; Bacillati; Bacillota; Bacilli; Caryophanales; Bacillaceae. The record is from RNAcentral.
CAUGGCGUAAAAGCCAGACGAAUGCUAGUCGAGCGGUAGCACAUAAGAGCUUGCUCUCAUGAGACUAGCGGCGGACGGGUGAGUAACGUCUGGGUAACCGGCCCAUGGGACUGGAAUACCUCCGGGAAACCGGGCCUAAUCCCGGAUAACAUUUUGAACCGCAUGGGUCGAACUUGAAAGGUCGUUUCGGCUGACGCUCCUGGAUGGACCCGCGUCGCAUUAGCUAUAUGGUGAGGUAACGGCUCACAUCCGUAACUAGGCUGAGACGACCUGAGAGGGUGAUCGAACACACUGGGACUGAGACUCCUACCAGACUCCUACGGGAGGCAAUAUUGCGGAAUCUUCCGCAAUGUGAUAAAGUCUGACCGAGUGUCGCCGCGUGAGUGAUGAAGGCUUUCGGGUUUCAAAACUCUGUUGUUAGGGAAGAACAAGUGCCUUUGAAUAAGCUGGCACCUUGACGGUACCUAACCAGAAACUCACGGCUAACUACGUGCCAGCAGCCGAGGGAAUACGUAGGUGGCAAACGUUAUCCGGAAUUAUUGGGCGUAAAGCGCCCGCAGGUGGUUUCUUAAGUCUGAUGUGAAAGCCCACGGCUCUGCCGUGGAGGGUCGUUGGGAAACUGUCUUGACUUGAGUGGUAAAGAGGAAAGUGGAAUUCCAUGUGUGCCGGUGAAAUGCGUAGAGAUAUGGAGGAACACCAGUGCCCAAGGAGACAUAUCUGGUCUGUAAGUGACACUGAGUGCGCGAACAGCCUGGGAUAGCAAACCCUGUUAGAUCCCCUGGUAAUCCAAUGCCGAAAUCGAAGAUUGCCCCUGAAAGAGGGGUUUCCGCCCUUUAAUGCUUAAAUUCACCCCUCAAGCAAUCCCCCUGC